This 207-nucleotide ribosomal RNA is filed under the name uncultured bacterium. Its description in RNAcentral is "partial 16S ribosomal RNA". It matches the Rfam family "Bacterial small subunit ribosomal RNA", at positions 29 to 225 of the family's 1533-position model. The record is from RNAcentral.
AUUGAACGCUGGCGGCAUGCCUUACACAUGCAAAGGUCGAAGCGCGAAAGGGGGGCAACCCCGAGUAGAGCGGCGGACGGGUGAGUAACACAUCGGAACGUGCCCAGUAGUGGGGGACAACCGUCGAGAAAUCGAGGCUAAUACCGCAUACGACCCACGGGUGAAAGCGGGGGACCCAAAGGCAACUGAGGGCCUCGCGCUAUUGGA